CCUACGGGAGGCAGCAGUGAGGAAUAUUGGUCAAUGGGCGAGAGCCUGAACCAGCCAAGUCGCGUGAAGGAUGAAGGAUCUAUGGUUUGUAAACCUCUUUUAUAUGGGAAUAAAGUGAGGCACGUGUUCCUUUUUGUAUGUACCAUAUGAAUAAGCAUCGGCUAACUCCGUGCCAGCAGCCGCGGUAAUACGGAGGAUGCGAGCGUUAUCCGGAUUUAUUGGGUUUAAAGGGUGCGUAGGUGGUUAAUUAAGUCAGCGGUGAAAGUUUGUGGCUCAACCAUAAAAUUGCCGUUGAAACUGGUUGACUUGAGUGUAUUUGAGGUAGGCGGAAUGCGUGGUGUAGCGGUGAAAUGCAUAGAUAUCACGCAGAACUCCGAUUGCGAAGGCAGCUUACUAAACUAUAACUGACACUGAGGCACGAAAGCGUGGGGAUCGAACAGGAUUAGAUACCCGAGUAGUC
RNAcentral lists this ribosomal RNA (460 nucleotides) under uncultured bacterium. RNAcentral describes it as "partial 16S ribosomal RNA". It matches the Rfam family "Bacterial small subunit ribosomal RNA", at positions 338 to 795 of the family's 1533-position model. The record is from RNAcentral.